Molecule: unclassified non-coding RNA, 357 nt
Filed under: soil metagenome
Description: partial contains 5.8S ribosomal RNA, internal transcribed spacer 2, and large subunit ribosomal RNA
Rfam family: 5.8S ribosomal RNA (bases 1-120)
Source: RNAcentral
GAUGAAGAGCGUAGCGAAAUGCGAUAAGUAAUGUGAAUUGCAGAAUUCAGUGAAUCAUCGAAUCUUUGAACGCACAUUGCGCCCGCUGGUAUUCCGGCGGGCAUGCCUGUUCGAGCGUCAUUUCAACCCUCAAGCUCUCCGGAGUUUGGUGUUGGGGCGCCUGGGGCUUUUCGACCUCAGGGCCCUCAAGUCCAUCGGCGGGACCGCCAGGACACUGAGCGCAGUAGUAUUAUUUCGCUCGGUAGGAUCUUCCACGGCGGGUCGAUCUGGCCGCUAAACCCCCCAAUUCUCACCAAAGGUUGACCUCGGAUCAGGUAGGAAUACCCGCUGAACUUAAGCAUAUCAAUAAGCGGAGGA